ACAAAUUAUUUGUUACUAAAUUGAUUUUACGUGGCUACAUAAGGUAGGCAAUAAUAAAGCAUGUUACUGUUAUUGGAGCGAAAGAGGUAAUUUUUUUAAUUGUUUAAUUAGCAAUACUUGUUGAUAAUAUAAUAAACAUUAAGGAACAUGGUAACGUGUUAAUAACAGAGGAAUUAAAAUAGAAAUCGAGCAUAAGUCACAAGACAUCUAAGCGAAAUAUUAUGUAAUAUGUAAAAAGAAAAUGGGAAAAUGAGGAAUGUUACUAAAUUCAGUAAAUACUUAGAUCGUCCUCAUUUUCUAUUACAUUUUAUUAUAGCCACUAUUUUUUUUUUGCUUCUAUAUAAUUCUAAAAUUAUUAACAUCCAAUCCUUUAUGUAAAAACAGACACAAAGGAAAACGUGCAAGGCAAAAUCAUGUGACAUCACAAACAAAGCGACGCCAUCUGUUGUUAUAAACCCGCUGCCCGCCUGGUCACUACUCAGCUGUGUUAUUUUCACCAUUUUCACCCCAUUUCUUUGACUGUGAUCCUUAAUUCUUGGCUCAGAAGAGGAAACAGGGACCAGUCAGCACCGCCGCCGUCCUUGUGGAAGGAGUGUCUGGCCCUUUGCUGAACCACAGCAAUCCAUCAUCAGUGGUGAUGCAGCCAUCAGAUCCUCACCUACCGGUGUUGCUGGAUCUGGUGGUUGUUGCUAUGGGAGAGUCAUCGUCAUUACUGACAGUGAAUGAGGACCUGACUCUCCAAGUCAUCCAUCAUACAGAUAUGUCCCCUACGGCAGAACUUGAGCAGGUGCAGCAAUUUAUAGUGAAUCUGAAGGAGAUAUGAUGAGACCUCCUGUAUGGACUAGUGAAAGCACAAAGGAAGUUGGAGACAGGCACAAUGGGAAGAGGUAGCAGGCAUAACAGGAGCUGAUGGCUGGCACAACGAGAACUGGUGGCAGGCACAACGUGAGCUGGUGGCAGGCACAACGGGAGGUGGUGGCAGGUACAACGGGAAGUGUUGGAGUCUCAGAAGCAGUCUGCUCAAAUACAAAGAAAAUUUUUUUGAUUUAUUUAGGCAGUUUAUGGUUCAUGCCACUGAGUGCUUUAAGACCAACACUAAACAUUAUCCCUUUGCUGAAAAUUUUAAAAAAAUAUAUAGUGAUAUUUAGUUCUUUUUUACUUUACCUUGUUUAUAUUAAUACAUUAUCAUACUAAAGCAUUUCACCAUUCCUUUGUGCUGUGAUUCGUGAUAGUGUUAGUUAACUGUGAUAUCUACAAUGUCUUAGUAUUAAUUACUUAAAAGCACAAAGUAACUGCCAUCUGUGUAGGUAAGCUUGAAGUUUUUUACGGUGACCUGAUGGGUUUUUUGUUCAUAUGUUUACCUAAUUGAGGUGUACAGUCCUUGAGCUAUACUCUCUUAUGUGGAUAAGUGUUUUUUUUUUUUCUCCACAUUUGCCACCAAAUACUUUGAUACUUGCUGAUUAUUUUAUUUGUCAAUAAAAAUCUACUAUUGCUGUU
This is a long non-coding RNA of Scylla paramamosain (green mud crab), 1497 nucleotides long. RefSeq lists it as uncharacterized. Lineage: Eukaryota; Metazoa; Arthropoda; Malacostraca; Decapoda; Portunidae. The record is from RefSeq and is a predicted model, not a curated record. The transcript is spliced from 3 exons.